CAACAAAACACUGACCUUGGUCCACAGACAACACCCACGUCCACGUGGUGGGUGGGACUGGCUCCGUCAGAGGAUGGGAAGAUGAGAAGUGCUUGUCGCAGGCCUGGAGAUGGGGACCACCCAGGCAUGCAGGGGAUGCUGCCUCUCCUCCAUCCAACAACAAGCCUGCGUGUGCCCAGCCCCCUCUGGUACACGCAUUGCUCCCCAUCCUCGGCAUUGAUCAAUUGAAAAUAAGACCUUGGAAGAACCCCUUGCAAAGCUGACAUUGUACGAGCCAAGGCAACCUGGCCGUGGGGUCAGCUGCACAGGCCAGGAGCUCGAGGGUGGUGGCUGGCAGAAAGUGCAGUCCAAAGUACUCUGUUUUGUUUUGAUUGUGUUUUAAAAUGGGACAAAUAACAGCAUGUGUGUUUGCUGAUGGGGAGAAUCCAGGAGAAAAACAGUGAAGUUGAGGUGAGCCUCACAGGGUCAGGGGGAAGACAGGGGAUCCCGAAGAUAACGUCUGCUACGAACUCAAUUGCAUCCGCCCCGGGCCCUAAGUUGAAGCCCUAAUCCCCACGUUGACUGCAUUUGGAGAAGGACCUUCAGCACAUGAUGGAGGGACCGAGAUGCCCAAAUCCUGGCCCUCCUGCUGGACUUUCAUUUUAAAGAACAAUAAAAUUAAUGUUAACUUCUAGCAGCUUCCAAGCUCUGUGGCCCCGGAGAGGGUCAGCGAGGGGCCUCCACUGUCUGAGUCCGCUCCUGGCAACGCCUGCUCUCUGCACUCAGAGGCCCGGUCCCGGCAGCUGCCACGUUGCUCAGAAGUUCUGGCAGGGGGAGCCUGAAACCCCUGUCUGCUGGCGACACUCCCGGAGCAGCAGGAAAUCUCUACAUUUUAUUUUUUUUCUUAACAGACAAAAGUAUUUGACUCCAGAAUGAUUUCCAGGAAUUACAGUAUGAGAACUUAGUCUUUGAGAUUUUUAUUUUCUUCUUAAAAAAAUAAAAAUGAAAUCAAAGCAGAAGACACUGGUUGAGCAGACAGCACACUAGCACAUUCCACUUCGCAACAAAACCUGCG
This 1054-nucleotide long non-coding RNA is filed under the name Homo sapiens (human). RNAcentral describes it as "HSALNT0117111". Lineage: Eukaryota; Metazoa; Chordata; Mammalia; Primates; Hominidae. The record is from RNAcentral.